RNAcentral lists this ribosomal RNA (207 nucleotides) under uncultured bacterium. RNAcentral's name for it is "partial 16S ribosomal RNA". It matches the Rfam family "Bacterial small subunit ribosomal RNA", at positions 568 to 774 of the family's 1533-position model. The record is from RNAcentral.
CGUGUAGGCGGUCAUUUAAGUCUGGAGUGAAAGUCCUGCAUUCAAUGUGGGAAUUGCUUUGGAUACUGGAUGACUUGAGUGCGGAAGAGGUAAGUGGAAUUCCCAGUGUAGCGGUGAAAUGCGUAGAGAUUGGGAGGAACACCAGUGGCGAAGGCGACUUACUGGGCCGUAACUGACGCUGAGGCGCGAAAGCGUGGGGAGCGAACA